AAACUGGUGAGCUAAAUAUAAGCUAUUGGGCUCAUAACCCAAAAAUAAGGUAUUCUUCCAGUU
Molecule: transfer RNA, 63 nt
Filed under: Pterobdella arugamensis
Lineage: Eukaryota; Metazoa; Annelida; Clitellata; Hirudinida; Piscicolidae
Description: tRNA-Met
Source: RNAcentral